UCAAACUUGGUCAUUUAGAGGAAGUAAAAGUCGUAACAAGGUAUCCGUAGGUGAACCUGCGGAUGGAUCAUUACCAAUUUAUCUGUAUAUGUAGUCUUUCUGUAAUGGAACGGCUAUAAUAUAUAUCUAUGUAAAUUGUUGAACUUGUGCUGUGAGGAAAUUUGGAUGUCGUCGUCCUUUGUGGCGCCGCAUCCAUUACUACCUUGCACGUUAAACAACUUUAGACAUACUACCAUUCUUACUACAAACAAACAAAACAACCUAUAGGAUUUAUUUAAUAGCUGAGUGGGUAAAAUCCUCGGCUAGCAAAACAAAUAAUACUAUUACAACUUACAACAAUGGAUCUCUAGGCUCUCGCAUCGAUGAAGAACGCAGC
Molecule: unclassified non-coding RNA, 376 nt
Filed under: uncultured fungus
Lineage: Eukaryota; Fungi
Description: partial contains small subunit ribosomal RNA, internal transcribed spacer 1, and 5.8S ribosomal RNA
Rfam family: Eukaryotic small subunit ribosomal RNA (bases 1-73)
Source: RNAcentral